CGCAAGGUGGAGUGGCUGACGGGUGAGUAACGCGUGGGAACAUACCCUUUCCUGCGGAAUACCUCCAUUUAAACUAGAAUUAAUACCGCAUACGCCCUACGGGGGAAAGAUUUAUCGGGGAAUGAUUGGCCCGCGUUGGAUUAGCUAGUUGGUGGGGUAAAGGCCUACCAAGGCGACGAUCCAUACCUGGUCUGAGAGGAUGAUCAACCACAUUGGGACUGAGACACAGGCCAAACUCCUACGGGAGGCAUCAGUGGGGAAUAUUGGACAAUGGGCGCGGGCCUGUUCCGAACAUGCCGCGUGAGUGAUGAAGGCCUUAGGGUUGUAAAGCUCUGUCACCGGAGAAGAUAAGGACGGUAUCCGGAGAAAAACCCCCGGCUAACUUGGUGGCGGCAGCCGCUGUAGUACGAAGGGGGCUAUCGUUGUUCGGAAUUACUGG
This 439-nucleotide ribosomal RNA is filed under the name Agrobacterium tumefaciens. RNAcentral's name for it is "bacterial SSU rRNA". It matches the Rfam family "Bacterial small subunit ribosomal RNA", at positions 84 to 557 of the family's 1533-position model. The record is from RNAcentral. Lineage: Bacteria; Pseudomonadati; Pseudomonadota; Alphaproteobacteria; Hyphomicrobiales; Rhizobiaceae.